CUUAAGGUAUAAGAGCAUAAUAUAUAUAUGUUGUAUGGGUGAAAGUUGAGGUACGAGUGGUAUUGUGGUAAGGGUUUUCUAUCCAUUAGGUCCCUCUUGCAUUUUUCACUUGUUUUGUAGGUGAUUUGGAAGAUUGCUAAGGGAGGAAAUGGCUCAAGAAGGGAUUGGCAAUAUGGGAGAAUUUUUUAAGAGAAUGGAUUUACGCAAAGCAAUUUCAUAUGGUAGUAAACCAUAGUUAGCCUUGUAUUCUAUCAACUAGGUUCAAAAGAUGGCAACUCAAACUGGGUUGGACUUCAUUGAUUGGAUUAUUAUGUUGGAAAACAAAUGUCAUCAAGUGAGAAUAUUAUUUCGAAUUUAAGGGGUAAUAGAUUCUAUUUUGACCUGACAUAAUUAAUUCACUAUUUUAAUUUAGUUUAUACUGCUGAUGGAUUGUUAUGAGUAAUUUUUCUUUCUUUUAUGUUUUAUUUGAAUAUUGUAGUCGUAGACUAUUGUUGAUAUUGUGAAUUAGGUAUGUACAUAUGAUAUGUAUAUAUAUAAUCAUAUAAAAGACCAUCAUAUAUAAAAAGAAAAGACUAAAGAUGCACUAGAUUAAUAUAUAUAUAUAUAAUCAUAUGAAGGCCUGGCGCAUAUAGACUUGAUUCAUUCAUUCAUUUAUCCAUUAAGGACCUGAAUUUGUGGUUGUAAAUUAAAAGUUAGUUUGGAUUUUGAGUUGCACACAAAGUGUUUGAUAAAAUGCACAUGCGUAUUUCAGAUUGGUUCCAUUUAAUUUGUGCACUUAGUCUUCUUUAUAUUAACACUUAUCAUGAGAUCUUUUCCAUUAAUUAAUUAAUUAAUUUUACAUAUUAUGGCAUUAAUUAUAUGCCUAAUUGAUUGUAUAUCAAAGCCAUAUAUAUAUGUGUGUGUCGUACUCCCCACUAUGUUUUUCUUCUUUUCUUUACAGUUCGAUUAUACGUUGAAAUACGUCAUAACAAUCCUAGUUAUACUGACCACUCUGAAAUUGUUAGAUCCUUACUUACUAUGUAAUUGUAAAUAGGAUUAAUCAGUAUGUCUCUUUCAUAUAAAAUACGUAUAUAUUUUUUUAAUUAAUACGAUUCUAUUAACUACUUUGGUUAAGGGGAAAAAGAAACUAUUAUUUACUAUGUCAAUUAUAGAACAUAUUUAAGAACAGGUAGAAGAUAUUAAUAAACAAAAUAAAAGAAACCACUGUGGUGGUCUUGAUUUGUUUUAAUGCAGCUGUUUGGCUGGAUGCAAAAUAAUCUUAAUUGAAAACAAACAACCAAGAAUACAAAUACAGUUCCAGCAACUAGUAAGUACUCCAGCUUUUUCCACUUUCUUUCUGUCGAAAAUGAACAUGUUUUUCACUUGUUUAUUUGGAUCUGAAUUUUAUAAAUGUAUAUGUGUGUGGGUAUACAUUAUUAAGUUGAUCAAUUCUUGUAUAUACUCUGUUUCUGUUACGAUGCAUAUAUAUAUAUGUUAAAGCAUGGAUAUUGAAGGUUGUGGAAAUAUGGUCAGAAGUACUGACCAAUCACCAUAUCACCUUUAGAAAAGGGUCUCCAUAUAUAUAUAAACAAAGAAUACAUGAAUAUAUUUAUCAAACGUGUCUCAAAUAUGGAUUGGACCAAGUUUAGAUCUGAUUAUUGAUAAGUCAACAGCUUGAGCUUGGUUAUCAAAGGGGUCAAGUAUUUUGGAUCUGAUAAUUAGAAAGGCUGGAAAAUCAAAUUAAAAAAAUAUAUAAUAUUAUAUUUAUAUAAACCUCCAUUAUUAUCAGAUCCCCAGGGAGAGAGAGAGUCAUAAAUUUUUAACAAUUAAGUACUGACAUGAGUGAGUACAUAUUUCAAUAAUCAUAACAAAGAACUUGAUGAAAUAAUGCAUAAAUACAUGAAAAUUAGAAAUACGAAAUACGAAAAUUCAUAAUAACUAAUAGAAAAAUUGAAUACAAUCAUUUUUUAUAAUUAUAUGUAUAUUUAAAAUGUAUAGGAAGAGAGAGGUAUAUUCUAAUUGUUUAAUUUGAUUGUGUGUUGUGGUGAUAAUGGAAGGUUGAAAACUUGUAUGUCUUAAUUUGGAUUCUAAUUGUUUAAACAUAUUCAGAGGUAUAUUCUUUUAUUCUUUUUAAUAUUAUACAAGUGUAUGUUAGAGGAGUUUGAAUAUCAAAAUAUUCAUCUAUAGUGAACUAGGUUCUCAGAUUAUAAUUGUGUGCUACGGUGAUAACGGAAGGUUGAGAACUUGUAUGUCUUAGUAAAGCAGGCUCUGUGAUAUAUAUAAUUGCAUGCUAGGGCAGAUAUAAGGAAGACAAUUUUUGUUGUUGUUUUAAUUGAUUGAAUUAUUUGAAUUGAUAUUGACAGAUGGUUAGGUUACAAAUAUAGGGAAAGUGCUAUCCGUUUUAAAUUAUAUAAAAAUAGUAUGAAUGAUUUAGAUUAUGAAAGAUUAACGUUUCACUUUCAUUUAUAUUCCAAUAGAGCUCAAGUAGUCAUAUAUUUUGACUACUUCAAGCUUUCAAACAUGCUUUCUUCUCCGCAACUUCAAGCUUCCUAGUCAAUUCCUCAUUCUUAGUUUGCUCAGCAACAUAAACCUGAAUGGCCUCCUCAUAUUUCUCUGAAUCUCUUUAUUGGAAGAAACUAAGUUUCUUAUAUUUUGAAUUUCAAGUUUUUUAAUGAUAUGAAUGAAAAAAAUUGAAAAUUAGAUGAUGUAAAAUGAAGAGGGAAAAAUAGAAAGCAAUAACUACCCUCAACUGCUUCUCCAAUUGUAAACGCCAAGUAAGCUCCUCCGCACGCUUUUCCAAUUUGUCCUUGGCUUCUUUAGGAGCCCCUGUUUCUCUAGCAGCCUAAAUAAAUUUGACAAAACAUUAUCACUUAGUAUUCCCCAAUUAACAUGAAACCAGAUUACAUUGAGUUGAAAGAAUAUAAAUAUAUAUAUAUAACAUGCCAUUUUGAGCUCUCUGAGUUCUUUUCUUGCAACUCUGCAUCUCCAGCCACACUGAGUGACAACUGCAGCCACACUGUUUGGCUUCACACAUCUGAUGUAGUAAGGCUUUGUUGCACACAAGAUUUUCAUCAAAGACUGAAGUUGUAACUGUGAAUUAAUAAAAGUUUAUUAGUCUUUAUGCUUUAUGAUCAUAAUAGAAACAUAUUCCGACAUUCGUAACACAAAAUUGGAGACAUUUGCAAUAAGAGAGCUGAAAAAUCAUAGAAUUGGUGACUAGAAAAAUACAAUAAUUCAUAUGGAAAGCAAUUACAUAACUAAUUCAUGGGAUAAACAUAAAUCAAUUCUAAUUAAAAUUUCUCAAUAGCAACAGUUAAAAACUGUCAGAAAAUCCCAUUUUUGCAGUAGUGUUUAUAACUAGAUUAUCUUUUCUUUUCUUGCUAAGUACUAUGGACUUAGAAUUUGAUGCAUAUUACCUACACAGUGCAUGUUGUUAUAUAUGUAUAUUAAUUUCUCGUUUUUUAUUGGAUUCUCUUUUCAGUCAGAUACUAUUUAUAUUUAGGCACACAUGCAACCACUGAUUGAGUUUUGUUAGAUUUUACAUGCCAUUAAUUUUUUUUUUUAAUUUUACUUUUAAUUAUUGAAGAGUUGUACAUUUGAUGUUUAUAAUUGCACCGCAGAAACUAGUUUCGGCUAUUCUCUUGCUUUUUGUUAUGGCUUCACUAAGUUGAAGUAUCUUCUUACAUACAAAGUAAAGUACUUGAAUUAGUUACUUAGUUGAUAUAAAUUUAUGUGGGGUUUAAUUAUUUGUUAUAUAUUUUUACCUUAUUCUGAGUUAUGUGGGGCAUAGACUUACACUUAGCUAUUUCAGAUAGAAAAGUGUUAUGGUUUAUGUAUGGUUUGUUUGGUAUAUUUCUGCUACAUUCAUUUCAUUCUGAUAUAUUAUUGUAUAAUUUUCAUUCUACAUUUCCAUCAAUGAGGCAUGACUCAUGCAUGUGAAGGAGUUGUUCAGCUUCUCUUCUUAGUGUUAGUGGCGAGUGGUGAUGAACUCAGCUGAUUCUCUUUCAACUCAAGAAAGAAAGGAACCAAAAUUUAUAAGCGUGUCUUGUUUGUUGUAUUCAAACUCUGAUUUGUGACCUCCCAGAGUGUCUGUCUUUGUUAAAAUUUAGAGUGAAAAUAAUUGUCUCUACAUGUUUCACCACAUUGGCCAUAACUUCAUGGGGCCUUAUCUAAGCUUGUGAUGUAAUAAUUGCAGUAUUCCAAUUUAAUCAUAAUUAUUGUUUAAAAUCCCAAGAACAGAUAUAUCAUAUUGAUUAUGCCUUGGAAGUUCUUAUGGGUUUUGGAAUUUAUUUUAGUUUUUGUUUGACUUUAA
Molecule: long non-coding RNA, 4291 nt
Organism: Humulus lupulus (European hop)
Lineage: Eukaryota; Viridiplantae; Streptophyta; Magnoliopsida; Rosales; Cannabaceae
Exons: 3
Source: RefSeq, a predicted model, not a curated record